ACAAAGCCGACUACUCAACCGAACCGAUCCGAAGAGUCCCGUGAUGGGCCAGGAGGCUACCGGCUACAAGACGCCGCCGGAGAGGGACCGCCUCGACGCCGCCCGCACCCGCGCUCCCCGCCGCCGCCAGAUCCGCAAGACCUUCAACAACCUCAAGAUCACCGUCCUCUGCGGCGUCGUCACCAUCCUCGUCCUCCGUGGCACUAUCGGCAUCGGCAGCCUUGCCGGCCCUGGCGGCGAGGCCGACGACCAGAAGGUCGUCGAGGACAUCGACCGCAUCCUCCGCGAGAUCCGAUCCGACUCUGACCCUGACGACGACGACAAGAUCCCUUUCGGCUUCAACUCCACCGCCGCCGCCCUCAACUACACCUCAGCCUCCGUUCUCGCCGCUGCCGCGAACUACACCCUCGGCCCCAGAAUCUCCGACUGGGACGAGCAGCGGCGGCGGUGGUUGGGCGAGAACCCGGGGUUCCCGAGCCGGACCUUCGGCUUGAAGCCGCGGAUUCUCCUCGUCACGGGAUCCCCUCCCAACCCCUGCGACAACCCAAUUGGCGACCACUACCUUCUGAAGGGCACCAAGAACAAGAUCGAUUACUGCCGCCUUCAUGGGAUUGAGAUCGUCUACAACAUGGCGCACCUCGACCGGGAACUCGCCGGGUACUGGGCGAAGCUUCCGCUGAUCCGGCGGCUAAUGCUGUCGCACCCGGAGGUGGAGUGGAUCUGGUGGAUGGACAGCGAUGCGCUCUUCACGGACAUGGCCUUCGAGAUCCCUCUCGACCGUUACGCCGCGCACAACCUCGUCGUCCAUGGCUACCCGGAUCUCAUUUUCGAGAAGCAUUCCUGGAUCGGCCUCAACACCGGCAGCUUCCUGCUGCGGAAUUGCCAGUGGAGCCUUGAUUUGCUUGAUGCGUGGGCGCCGAUGGGGCCCAAAGGCCCCAUUCGCGACGAGGCUGGCAAGAUACUGACGGCGAACCUGCAGGGCCGGCCGGCGUUCGAGGCGGAUGAUCAGUCGGCGCUCAUAUAUUUGGUCUUGUCUCAGCAAGAUCGGUGGGGCGACAAGAUCUACAUUGAGAACUCGUAUUAUCUGCAUGGAUACUGGGCUGGGUUAGUGGACAGGUAUGAGGAGAUGAUGGAUAAGCAUCAUCCUGGUUUGGGGGAUGAGAGGUGGCCUUUCGUCACCCACUUUGUGGGUUGCAAACCAUGUGGUAGCUAUGGGGAUUAUCCUGUGGAGCGCUGCUUAAGCAGCAUGGAGAGAGCUUUCAAUUUUGCCGAUAACCAGGUCCUCAGGAUGUAUGGAUUUGCUCAUGGAAAACUGUCUAGUCCUAAGAUUAAGAGGACCAGGAAGCAAACAGCAAAGCCACUGGAGUUCUUGGAUCAUCUUAAACUUGAAGCCAGGAUAGAAACCAGAGGAUGAGCGAGGCCAUUAUCUACACAAGCAUCGUUCUCAGAAAUCUCAGGAACUCAUAACAAUGAAUUCUAUGUUCAUUGUUGAUGCUUCAUCUGAAACUCUUCCAUUUGUUAUUUGAUGACACGCAUCUUUGGCCUUUGUUAGUGAUAUUCUAGACUGAAGUAGAUCAAAAGCCAAUUACAGAACUUUUGGAGAAAGAGAUCCUCCAUGCUGCUGAAUACCUGCUUUUGGUGGAAGGUGGAGUAUCAGCCUCUAACUGGAAUUUGUUCUAGUUCGAAAAGGAUCUCCUAUUGCAUCAAAUGACUCUUGCUUCAACUAUCAAUUCGCUAUAUGCUUGGUUCUCCAUCUUGCAGUCCCAACAUCCAUCUCAUCUGCUUAGCAGAAUACUGCAACUUGCUUGGGAAACAAAUGAUAGAUUUAUAAAUAUAUCAUUUUCAUGUUUAGAGCACAGUUUUGUUGUAAAUUAACUAAAUAAAACGUUAGCAAUUUUGAAUGGAGCUCAACAAACACUGACCAUUUGCCCACCGGCAUGCUGUUAACCAGGACUAGAAGUGGCUCAACUCAUACAGAUCAGGUGUAGCGGAGGCAAUCAAGUUCAAACUGUUCUCGUACACUUAUGCCUGUCAUGCUGCUGUUUCAGGAGCUUCUUUGCCCACACAUCUUAAG
This is an RNA transcript of Musa acuminata AAA Group (dessert banana), 2074 nucleotides long. It is a transcript of the gene named probable glycosyltransferase 2, with no coding region annotated. Lineage: Eukaryota; Viridiplantae; Streptophyta; Magnoliopsida; Zingiberales; Musaceae. The transcript has 5 exons. The record is from RefSeq and is a predicted model, not a curated record.